GCAAGAACAAUUAAUACUCGAUAAAGUUGCACACAAUUAUAAAUCAUCCUUAAUUUGUACAAGCAAAAGUUGUUACAUAUAUAAUUAAAUUAACACAAAAAACACAAAGUAAUGAUUAAGUUGAGAUUAUGAUUUAAUUAAUUAAGUGGGUAUUUAGCAGUAAUUAAGGAUCCAACUGAAACUCUUUUAAAGCUAUCUUCUCAUAGAGAAGAAAGACCUUAGCUUUGUAUGGAUAUCUAUCAAAAUGUCAUAUAGAUAACCAUAGAAGGACGCGCAUGGCUUGCACGCGCGAGAAUGGAGGUUCUUCUUCUCUCUUUCAUUGUGAUUGCUGAGUACAGAGAGAGAGAGAGAGAGA
Molecule: unclassified non-coding RNA, 355 nt
Filed under: Hevea brasiliensis (rubber tree)
Lineage: Eukaryota; Viridiplantae; Streptophyta; Magnoliopsida; Malpighiales; Euphorbiaceae
Source: RNAcentral